GAUAAACGCUGGCGGCGUGCCUAACACAUGCAAGUCGAGCGGUAAGGCCCUUUUCGGGUACACGAGCGGCGGACGGGUGAGUAACGCGUAGGAAUCUACCCCAGACUGAGGGAUAGCCCACCGAAAGGUGGAUUAAUACCGCAUACGGUCUUCGGAUUAACGCUUCGGCGGUUUGGGAAGAGCCUGCGUAAGAUUAGCGAGUUGGUAAGGUAAUGGCUUACCAAGGCGACGAUCUUUAGCUGGUCUGAGAGGAUGAUCAGCCACACUGGAACUGAGACACGGUCCAGACUCCUACGGGUGGCAGCAGUGAGGAAUUUUCCACAAUGGGCGAAAGCCUGAUGGAGCAACGCCGCGUGCAGGAUGAAUGCCUUCGGGUUGUAAACUGCUUUUGUCUGUGACGAAUAUGACGGUAGCAGACGAAUAAGGAUCGGCUAACUCCGUGCCAGCAGCCGCCGUAA
This 458-nucleotide ribosomal RNA is filed under the name uncultured bacterium. RNAcentral describes it as "partial 16S ribosomal RNA". It matches the Rfam family "Bacterial small subunit ribosomal RNA", at positions 28 to 523 of the family's 1533-position model. The record is from RNAcentral.